GACGAACGCUGGCGGCGUGCUUAACACAUGCAAGUCGAACGGAAAGGCCCUGCCUUUGUGGGGUGCUCGAGUGGCGAACGGGUGAGUAACACGUGAGUAACCUGCCCUUGACUGUGGGAGAACUUCAGGAAACUGGGGCUAAUACCGGGUAGGAGCUCCUGCUGCAGGGUGGGGGUUGGAAAGGUUCGGCGGUUGGGGAUGGACUGGCGGCUUAUCAGCUUGUUGGUGGGGUAGUGCCUUACCAAGGCUUGGACGGGUAGCCGGCCUGAGAGGGUGACCGGCCCCAUUGGGCUGGGAAUCCGGCCCGGCCUCCUCCGGGAGGCAGCGGUGGGGAAUAUUCCACAAUGGGCGGAACCCUGAUGCAGCACCGCCGCGGCCGGGUUGACGGCCUUCGGGUUGUAACCCGCUUUCGCCUGUGACGAAGCGUGAGUGACGGUAAUGGGUGAAGAAGCACCGGCUAACUACGUG
RNAcentral lists this ribosomal RNA (468 nucleotides) under uncultured bacterium. Its description in RNAcentral is "partial 16S ribosomal RNA". It matches the Rfam family "Bacterial small subunit ribosomal RNA", at positions 28 to 507 of the family's 1533-position model. The record is from RNAcentral.